RNAcentral lists this ribosomal RNA (406 nucleotides) under uncultured bacterium. Its description in RNAcentral is "partial 16S ribosomal RNA". It matches the Rfam family "Bacterial small subunit ribosomal RNA", at positions 30 to 526 of the family's 1533-position model. The record is from RNAcentral.
AUUGAACGCUGGCGGCAGGCCUAACACAUGCAAGUCGAACGAGUGGCGGACGGGUGUGUAAUGUCUGGGACUCUGCCUGGUAGUGGGGGAUAACGUCCGGAAACGGGCGCUAAUACCGCAAACUCUCAGAUGAGCCUAGGUGGGAUUGGCUGGUGGGUGGGGUAAAGGCCUACAAAGGCGACGAUCCGUAACUGGUCUGAGAGUAUGAUCAGUCACACUGGAACUGAGACACGGUCCAGCCUCCUACGGGGGGCAGCAGUGGGGAUUAUUGGACAAUGGGCGCAAGCCUGAUGCAGCCAUGCCGCGUGUAUGAGGAAGGCCUUCGGGUUGUAAAGUACUUUCAGCGGGGAGGCGUUACCCGCAGAAGAAGCACCGGCUAACUCCGUGCCAGCAGCCGCGGUAAUUC